CCUACGGGUGGCUGCAGUGGGGAAUAUUGGGCAAUGGGCGCAAGCCUGACCCAGCAACGCCGCGUGAAGGAAGACGGCUUUCGGGUUGUAAACCUCUUUUAAGAGGGAAGAGCAGAAGACGGUACCUCUUGAAUAAGCCACGGCUAACUACGUGCCAGCAGCCGCGGUCAUACGUAGGGGGCAAGCGUUGUCCGGAUUUACUGGGUGUAAAGGGCGUGUAGCCGGGCUGACAAGUCAGUUGUGAAAUCCGGGGGCUCAACCCCCGGACUGCAUUUGGAACUGUUUGUCUUGAGUAUCGGAGAGGCAGGCGGAAUUCCUAGUGUAGCGGUGAAAUGCGUAGAUAUUAGGAAGAACACC
RNAcentral lists this ribosomal RNA (357 nucleotides) under uncultured bacterium. Its description in RNAcentral is "partial 16S ribosomal RNA". It matches the Rfam family "Bacterial small subunit ribosomal RNA", at positions 338 to 710 of the family's 1533-position model. The record is from RNAcentral.